This 253-nucleotide ribosomal RNA is filed under the name uncultured prokaryote. RNAcentral describes it as "partial 16S ribosomal RNA". It matches the Rfam family "Bacterial small subunit ribosomal RNA", at positions 524 to 776 of the family's 1533-position model. The record is from RNAcentral.
UACAGAGGGUGCGAGCGUUAAUCGGAAUUACUGGGCGUAAAGCGCGCGUAGGCGGCUUGUUAAGUCGGAUGUGAAAUCCCUGGGCUCAACCUAGGCAUUGCAUUCGAUACUGGCAAGCUAGAGUAUGGGAGAGGAAGGUAGAAUUCCAGGUGUAGCGGUGAAAUGCGUAGAUAUCCGCAGGAACAUCCGAGGCGAAAGCGGCUCGCUGGAUCACAACUGACGCUGAGGGACGAAAGCUAGGGGAGCAAACAGG